CUGGGUGGAUUAGUGGCGAACGGGUGAGUAACACGUGAGUAACCUGCCCCCGACUUUGGGAUAAGCCCGGGAAACUGGGUCUAAUACCGGAUAUGACUUCCUGCCGCAUGGUGGGUUGUUGAAAGAUUUAUCGGUGGGGGAUGGACUCGCGGCCUAUCAGCUUGUUGGUGAGGUAAUGGCUCACCAAGGCGACGACGGGUAGCCGGCCUGAGAGGGUGACCGGCCACACUGGGACUGAGACACGGCCCAGACUCCUACGGGAGGCAGCAGUGGGGAAUAUUGCACAAUGGGCGGAAGCCUGAUGCAGCGACGCCGCGUGAGGGAUGACGGCCUUCGGGUUGUAAACCUCUUUCAGUAGGGAAGAAGCGAAAGUGACGGUACCUGCAGAAGAAGCGCCGGCUAACUACGUGCCAGCAGCCGCGGUAAUACGUAGGGCGCAAGCGUUAUCCGGAUUUAUUGGGCGUAAAGAGCUCGUAGGCGGUUUGUCGCGUCUGCCGUGAAAGUCCGAGGCUCAACCUCGGAUCUGCGGUGGGUACGGGCAGACUAGAGUGAUGUAGGGGAGACUGGAAUUCCUGGUGUAGCGGUGAAAUGCGCAGAUAUCAGGAGGAACACCGAUGGCGAAGGCAGGUCUCUGGGCAUUUACUGACGCUGAGGAGCGAAAGCAUGGGGAG
Molecule: ribosomal RNA, 671 nt
Filed under: Glutamicibacter arilaitensis
Lineage: Bacteria; Bacillati; Actinomycetota; Actinomycetes; Micrococcales; Micrococcaceae
Description: bacterial SSU rRNA
Rfam family: Bacterial small subunit ribosomal RNA
Source: RNAcentral